RNAcentral lists this unclassified non-coding RNA (705 nucleotides) under Hevea brasiliensis (rubber tree). Lineage: Eukaryota; Viridiplantae; Streptophyta; Magnoliopsida; Malpighiales; Euphorbiaceae. The record is from RNAcentral.
AGCAUUAAUAUUUUAAGGGACAGGUGCUGUUUGAACUUUUGAUUUGAACAAUAUAUAAGCUAACAUGCAUCUGACUUUAAAUUUCGAUUUCUAUGAUUGGCUCAAAAUUUGCUGAUGCAUGUUUGCUUUGCUUUGCUUUUAUAUUCAUGUCUUACUGAAACUUGCUGCUUGAAGGAUGAACAAUAAAAAAGUAGUUUAGAUCUCUUAAGUGAAUAUUUGUUUUUUCAUAUUGAGUUAUUGACCAAGUGCAAUUUUAUUCUCAGUGUAAUAAAAGGCAAUAGUUGCCCUCAAGGCAUUACUCGACACAAUGUAAAAUUAAUUUUAAACUAGUUGGGGUCUACCAUAUGGAUUAUUUUUCCUCAUUUCACAGAACUACAUUUCAGAAAGUUUUAAGGCCACAGUUCAAUUAGUCUAUGGUUGCAUUUUUAGAAAGAUUUGAUGCCACUAAAUCCGUUUCACUACUUUAUGUCAUCUUAGGUUUUCCCCUUGCUUUCUCGUUACCUAUGACUUUAAUGUGCGCAAUUUUUUUGCACUAGUGCAUUUGCUGAUCAACUACGUACUUGUCAAAACCAUAUCAACCUCCCUUCUCUCAAUGUCCACCUUCUUAUGACCACAUUUAUUCAUCAUCAAGUCCAUUCUUAUAUUUCUUUAUAUCCAUCUUACCCUUUGUUUGGGAAGUAGUUUUUUAAAGUAAUUGAAGGUUUU